Potamilus streckersoni is the source of this 69-nucleotide non-coding RNA. The record is from the annotation of a GenBank genome assembly. Lineage: Eukaryota; Metazoa; Mollusca; Bivalvia; Unionida; Unionidae.
GGGUGGCUUAGUGGUUAGAGCGUCCACCUCGGAUGCAGGAGACUGCAGGUUUGAACCCUUGAAGAAUCA